Molecule: ribosomal RNA, 176 nt
Filed under: uncultured bacterium
Lineage: Bacteria
Description: partial 16S ribosomal RNA
Rfam family: Bacterial small subunit ribosomal RNA
Source: RNAcentral
GCCGGAAUCGCUAGUAAUCGCGGAUCAGAAUGCCGCGGUGAAUACGUUCCCGGGUCUUGUACACACCGCCCGUCGCACCAUGGGAGUCGGGAAUGCCCGAAGUCAGUGGCCCAACCGGAAGGGGGGAGCUGCCGAAGGCAGGCCCGGUGACUGGGGUGAAGUCGUAACAAGGUAUC